CUGGCGGCGUGCCUAAUACAUGCAAGUCGAACGGUCUUUCUAUGGAAGCUUGCUUCCACUGAGAAGAUAGUGGGCGAACGGGUGAGUAACACGUGGGUAACCUGCCCAUAAGAGGGGGAUAACAUCCGGAAACGGGUGCUAAUACCGCAUAGUUUUCUUGAUCGCAUGAUCGGGAAAGGAAAGACGGCCUUUGUGCUGUCGCUUAUGGAUGGACCCGCGGCGUAUUAGUUAGUUGGUGAGGUAACGGCUCACCAAGACGAUGAUACGUAGCCGACCUGAGAGGGUGAUCGGCCACAUUGGGACUGAGACACGGCCCAAACUCCUACGGGAGGCAGCAGUAGGGAAUCUUCCGCAAUGGACGAAAGUCUGACGGAGCAACGCCGCGUGAGUGAAGAAAGGGUUUUCGGAUCGUAAAACUCUGUUGUCAGAGAAGAACAAGUUGGAGAGUAACUGCUCCAGCCUUGACGGUAUCUGACCAGAAAGCCACGGCUAACUACGUGCCAGCAGCGGC
RNAcentral lists this ribosomal RNA (511 nucleotides) under uncultured bacterium. Its description in RNAcentral is "bacterial SSU rRNA". It matches the Rfam family "Bacterial small subunit ribosomal RNA", at positions 36 to 518 of the family's 1533-position model. The record is from RNAcentral.